RNAcentral lists this long non-coding RNA (309 nucleotides) under Homo sapiens (human). Its description in RNAcentral is "non-protein coding lnc-CLN5-4:1". The record is from RNAcentral. Lineage: Eukaryota; Metazoa; Chordata; Mammalia; Primates; Hominidae.
AGUCUCCUUGCUGUGGGACGAGCCUCUGCCUUCCUGCCAGAGAUGUGACUCCCGCUUGAAGGGGAUUUUUUUUGUUGUUUUGAGAUGGAAUGUGGGAGGGCUGAAGCUAGCUAUAUGUGGAAGAGACUAUCUGUGGCUGAAACUGGAAGGUUUAGGGAGGUGGAGCAGAAAAAAGAAAGGAAGGAGUCUCGCCGGAGCCUGCUGGGGACCGCGGCCCGCGGGUGGCCGCCCCGGAUGCCUGAAACCGAGGAGUUAAAUACAGUCUCCGAAGACCCGCGCAUCGAUGUGCAUAAGUGGUGCUUAAAAGAU